Osmerus eperlanus (European smelt) is the source of this 769-nucleotide long non-coding RNA. RefSeq lists it as uncharacterized. The transcript has 2 exons. Lineage: Eukaryota; Metazoa; Chordata; Actinopteri; Osmeriformes; Osmeridae. The record is from RefSeq and is a predicted model, not a curated record.
ACACACAUCAAGACACAUAUUGUUUUACAUUAUUUUUGCCACGUAUUUGUACGCCUCUAUAAACCCAGCCAGUGUUGCCUCGUUGAAAACACUACAAACAUUUUACGGGGCGUUUAGUUCGUCUUACACACCCAGUUAUUACUGCUUCUUGCUCGGUUCUCCAGACCUUCCUGCAAAUUGGGACCCAGCCCGCCCUCCUGGGAGAACCUCUUUACCAUCUUCCUGGUGUGGUCCAUCUCCUCGGGCGGCAGAAGGGGCUCCAGGGCCCGCAGGUAGCCCUGCAGGGUCUGGGCAAGCGGGGGCACUGGCUGGGCGGGCACGGAAGAGCACCAAGCUUCCUGCUGCAACGCCCCUCCCUGGAAUAAGACGAUUUCAUGAAAACAACUUUUGACGAAGUUGAGCCACCACAUAGGCUACUUGACGGUGCUCCAGAGUUAUACUCACCCGAGAAAGCAAAGCCCUGCAUGUUCUUGGUGGUAUUUUUCUCAGAAUCAUCUCACUUAAGACGAAGAGCCAAGCUUGCCUGCAAACUCUUUAGCUAGUUAACUCACUUGGACACCUAGCUAACUAGCGACGUCGAAUCUUAGAUAAAUACCAGACCACUUUCUGAAAAUCUCAAACUGUCAUUGACCAACUCAAAUGAUAGUGUUCGUCUUGGGGCGUGCACACGUUGACGUUACAAAGCACGCCAAAGUAUGAGGUCAGUUUUCCAAAGGCCCGACGAUUUCGUUAACUACCUAUUACUACAUGAUGAAGGUAAACUCACUAA